GAUGAACGCUGGCGGCGUGCCUAAUACAUGCAAGUCGAGCGAACAGACGAGGAGCUUGCUCCUCUGACGUUAGCGGCGGACGGGUGAGUAACACGUGGAUAACCUACCUAUAAGACUGGGAUAACUUCGGGAAACCGGAGCUAAUACCGGAUAAUAUAUUGAACCGCAUGGUUCAAUAGUGAAAGACGGUUUUGCUGUCACUUAUAGAUGGAUCCGCGCCGCAUUAGGUAGUUGGUAAGGUAACGGCUUACCAAGGCGACGAUGCGUAGCCGACCUGAGAGGGUGAACGGCCACACUGGGACUGAGACACGGUCCAGACUCCUACGGGAGGCAGCAGUAAGGAAUCUUCCGCAAUGGGCGAAAGCCUGACGGAGCAACGCCGCGUGAGUGAUGAAGGUCUUCGGAUCGUAAAACUCUGUUAUAAGGGAAGAACAAAUGUGUAAGUAACUAUGCACGUCUUGACGGUACCUAAACAGAAAGCCACGGCUAACUACGUG
Molecule: ribosomal RNA, 497 nt
Filed under: uncultured bacterium
Lineage: Bacteria
Description: partial 16S ribosomal RNA
Rfam family: Bacterial small subunit ribosomal RNA
Source: RNAcentral